Molecule: long non-coding RNA, 4854 nt
Organism: Astatotilapia calliptera (eastern happy)
Lineage: Eukaryota; Metazoa; Chordata; Actinopteri; Cichliformes; Cichlidae
Source: Ensembl
CACUGAUAUUCUCACAAGGGAGGUGUGGCUAACGUAGUAUUUAAACUCAUCCCUUUGUCAGUUUGGAUCUCACUUUCAGUGGGUAAUCAGAGUUCAAAAUGUUCGUGCUUUGGGCGCUACGAUUUGCUUGGGUGAUUUUUGCUUGUGGAGGAACCAGCGCAGCCUCCAGAAACAACUGUUAUCGAAAAGACUGUAAUGGAACAUGGUAUGACAUCCAAGAGGCUACUUGCUGUGAAAACAAACUUUACCCUGGUGCAAGUCUCUCUUGUUGUGGAAAUGAGCCUUACAAUCUGGAAACAGCCACUUGUUGUAAAGUACAGCAUGAGCACGACAUCAUAGCCAGUGUUGACCAGGGUCUGAAUGAAAAGGUAUCCAAGUGCUGUGACCUGAAGGCGUACAACCCAGUCAAUGAAAUGUGUUGUCAGUCAACCAUCACAGCAAAACCUGGACCAAUGGCUGAAUGUUGUGGUAAAGAGGUUUUUGAUAAGGAUAAGCAGUUGUGUUGUGGUCCAACUGAUAACAGGAUAAUUUUGGUGAGGAAUUCUAGCCACCACCGGUGCUGUGGCCACAACCAGUAUGACACCAAGACUCAGUGCUGCUGUACAAAUAAGGAAAACAUUCUGGAGAUACAACCUAAAGAUUCAGACUGCUGCAUGGAGGACUCUCCAGCAGUUCUUCCAUGUGGAAAUAUAACCUUCAACAAACAUACGCAACUAUGCUGUCAGUUAAAUGUUGUUCACAAAUCUCCACAGAAGUACAAAUGUUGUGAUAAAAGGGCAUAUGAUGUGGAAAAGGAGCUGUGUUGUGGCCCAAGUAAUAACAAAAUAAUUCUAAUGAGGAAUUCCGGUAAUCACCAGUGCUGUGGUCACAACCAUUAUGACACUGACACUCAGUGUUGCUUUUUGAAUAAGGAGGGUGUUCUUGAGAUUCAACCUAAGGAUCCAUCUGGCUGUGUGAGAGAAAAGGUAAGAAAUACACUCCAAUAAAUGUAGGGUUCUUAUUCUCUUUGUAUUCAUUCAUACAGUGAUCAGUAAAGAAACAUUUUGGUCCUUUAUUUGCCAAUAUGGGUGCAUUAAAACAUCCUUUUUAUUUCUUUUUUUUUUUGUCAGACAGUUGAGCGCCAGUCUAAGUGCACUGAACCAAAAACACAUCUCUGUGGGUCGUUAUGUUACAAUCCAAAGGAACGUCGCUGCUGUGAGAGAAAUCAAGAAUCUCACUGGUUCUGUGCCUCAGGUCAAAGGAAGACACCACCCACUGUGUACAACCCCCAUACACAAGUCUGUUGUGAUGGAUGUGUAUCAGGAAAGAAGCCUUGGAUAGAUCAAUGCUGUGGAGAGACGCCGUAUGGCUCAGCACAACGUGGAGUUCUGUGUUGUAAUAAGAGCUUGUACGAGGGCAGAGACGAUGGAGAGGAAUGUUCGGAGAUAGGUAUUCCUUACAACCCUGCUAAAGGGACCAUGUGUUGUUCUCACUUUCAUGGCAGCCCAGGACAACACUGCUGUGGGACAGAAAUUUACCAGCCUGAUGUUGAGAUUUGCUGCAAUGGACACAGACAUCCCAGACUGAGAAACAUCCACUGCUGUGGGGUCAAAGCCUACAACAUUAAAGACCCACAGAUGAAGUGCUGUGCAGGAACACUGUACAAUCUGACAUCAUUAGAUGAGCAUGGGGGGGAUGCGCAGUGCUGUGGAUCCAUUCUGCAAAAGCCACAGGAGAUUUGCUGCUCAGGUGAGGACAAAGAGGUGCUUUACACUGUCAAGACAGGAUUUGGAUGCUGUGGUCACCUCUAUUACAACACCACUUUGUGGUCGUGCUGCGCUGGGAGGCUUACAUUAAUCAAUGAAUCAGAACAGGAUCAGAGAAAGAUGAUUAACGAAUACCGACAUUUCUCUGUGAAUAAUCUGAACAAAACUUCUCUUUGCAAUAAAGUGCGCAUUGGGAUUGUGGAAAGUGUGUCUCUGCAUAGCAUUGUUUUCAAGAGCAUGCUAAAAGUCCAUGGGAAGAAGGCCAAAGUCAAAGCUUUGUCUUUGCCGUACACCCUGAAAAUAGUUGAUCACUGCAGCUCCCCUAAACUGAUUCCUGGGAAGAUCUAUAUCUUUAACAACGUUAAUAUUUUCACUGAUUUCAAUCAUCAAUCUGUUCUUCAAUCACUGCAUUUCAUUUUUUCCAAGUGUUCACCUUAGACCAGUAAUCACAUUCUAGUUACAACUGUAUUCUUACUUGUGUUACAAAGGUCAUCUCCUUGAAGACAGAUUAGAAGAAGAGAAAAUCAUUAAAAGUGCCAUAUGGGCAUUUCUUUCAUUUUAGUGCAUUGAAGGACAAGAACGUGCAAGUACAAACUACUUCGAGCUUGGAAGUAACAUGCACAUUGAUCCCAGCCAAGCAGCUAGAGUCCUCAUUCUGUUUAUUUGGGACUGUAGUCUAACUAGUGUGAUGGUACACCUAAGGUCAUGUUAGAGUAAUGCAAAAAAAGAUAAGAUGAAUAAAAAUUAUUUAUUUAUAAAACUAUUUAAAAUGUAAAGUAAUUAAGGAAGUAAUAACUACUUCAAAAUCACCAAGAAAUGUCAAACUUUAAUUACUUUAGUUACAAUUAUGUCUUUACUUGUGUUACUUUUAAAAAAAACAAUGAGCAAUGUGUAAUUUCUUACUGUUUAUGGGAACCAUCCCAUCUUUAUGUAACAGUACAACAUUCAACCUUACAGACCCACACAACAAAAAAAGAAGAUAUAAACGUGAUCAUCUUUAGGUAUAGCCACAAUUACCAGCAAAGUUAGUGGAAAAACAGCUCAAAAUUUUCAAAUAGCCAGUUCAGUAGAGUUCUCUGGAAUUGACACAGUCAUCUUAAGCAGCGGUCCCCAACCUUUUUAUGCCCGACAAUAUUUUCAUGGACGGACCUUUAACACACGUGAAAAGACCCAGGAAAACCGAGUUAACGAGCAAAACGAUAACAAAAUAACGCUGAAAACUGAUAAAAACCCUGAAAACCAUACAUUUCAUACCUGAGCCUCUACUCUCGCAGCCUGGUACCAAACGACUCACGGACCGGUACCGGUCCGAGGCCCGGGGGUUGGGGACCACUGAUCUUAAGCACUGCUCAGGGUCUUAGGGUCCUUUUUCAGGUUCUUGACAAGAAUUGAAUCCUGUUUGCAGCAAUGGAUAGAUGCUUCUCACAGUGAAAUCAAUGUAUUGCACUAAUCUCAAUUGCUCAAUGUUGUACACCACUGUAUUUUUUGUGUUUCUGCAAGGUGAGCCCACUUAAUUGUUGCAUUGUUGCAUACAUGAAAAAGCUAAAACUGUUUUUUUAAGUCAAACCCACACUAUUGAAUGUAUGCAUGUAUUAUAAAUCAUAUGUUUUAUUUUACUAGCUAAAGCUAGAGAACAAUAAGCACUUACUUCUGAAUGCCAUAGAUGUUAUAAGAAUUGCUAUUUCUUCUUAACUACCCAACUGUGUUCACCUUUGUGUAAGCUGUAGUUACUUUUUAACGAGAAUGUGAUUUACGUAAUGUGAUUAAAGAUAGAGUACUGUAACUGGCAGAUGCAGAGUGGGUACUAUGGAUGAGCCCCAGGGGUCCAGGCUCACCCAAUAAAGUUAUAGUGCCUCCUGAGCUGAAUUGUAUGCUAUACUGUAACUAAGUUACACUAAUUCACACAAUUUGGUGAUUAAAAAAAACGCCAAACAAACCUUGGACCCAUCCAGGUCAAACUUUGGGAAGUGCCUUUCUCUUUGAAACAAAAAAAAAAAGAAAGAAAGAAAGAUUCGUCAGGUUGUGAAGCUAGUUUUAAAUCAUGACCCUAUUCAAAGGUUUCGAAAUAAAUGGAAAUCUGUUCAAGAUAUUUACUUAGGUUUAUUGAGCCACUUCUGCACUUCUGUCUCUUUUCCUCUGCAAUAUAAGACAGAUGCAUUUUUUUUAAAAUAUUUCUCUGUGAAUGUUUGGUGCUAUGCAUGUAUUUAUAUUUAAUUUUUCUAUAGAAUAGUAAUGUGACUUGUGUUGAAUGACUCCUGUCAAAGUUGGUUGUUCUUCCAGUUCAUAUGGUCUGCAAUUGACCCAGGGUAAAGGUUUGCCAUUUUUGUACUGUAUAUUGCUUUAUUAGAAGUUGCUGACAUCUGUCAUUUUUUGAGUUGAUUUAUUAAAGAAAACAAUAUUGUACUCAUAAAUGCACAUUUAUUAUUGUCUAAUUCUGUCUUCCAACAAACCGAUGUAGUUCAAGGGCUUAAAAUGAAUCCAUUAAAAUACAUAAGACUGGGGCCAGUUUUUUGCACCACCAUCUUAAAUACAGUAGCCAAGAUUAAUAUUGCCAAUCCAUCUAACUACGAUUUAUGUAUGUGGCUAUGUACUGGUCACAUGUGGACAACAGAACUCACUGACAUUUGCAUACUAUGGAGACAAAGUUUAAGACUUGAAUUAGGAGAAGUAAGAAAGCAGAAUUAAGUUGAAGGCAAUCUACUAGUAAUUGGCGGAACCACAAAGAGGAACACAACAUAGAUUUUCCAAAGAAGGUUUGACUGUUGUACUAAAUUUUGUAUAUAUUUAAGUUUAUUUAAACCACUUUCUAAUGCAUUGAACUAUAAUCUUGAAGGCAGAGUGAUCAAACGGUAUUGAAUGUCAAAAUUAUUCUAUACAUGUGUAGCCCUGUCUGAAAUUAUUCAGGCUUACAGGGUAAAGAAAAAAAAAGUCUACUGUUAUAAAAAAUGGUUAAAAUAUAAAUAGUUGAUAAAAUGUUUAAAAUCAUAUGCUUUGGUACAAAUGUAUUUCAUUUACAGUUAAGAGUCCAAUAAAUAAAAGGGUUUCAUGAUUUAGAGUUCAUUUUCUGUGCAGAAUCAAUAUGUUGGGGUGUAACCUAAGUUUAUUUACC